GUAGGUGAACCUGCGGAAGGAUCAUUAACAAGUCCGCUGCGUGCGCAUUCGUGCGUAUGCACAUCCGUUCCAUGCGCAGUUCGCUGUGCAUGACAUUUCUGCAAAUCUCUGAUUGUCACACUAAAUAAUACAAACUUUUAACAAUGGAUCUCUAGGCUCUU
RNAcentral lists this unclassified non-coding RNA (161 nucleotides) under rhizosphere metagenome. Its description in RNAcentral is "partial ribosomal RNA internal transcribed spacer region". The record is from RNAcentral.